RNAcentral lists this ribosomal RNA (372 nucleotides) under Triticum aestivum (bread wheat). Its description in RNAcentral is "partial small subunit ribosomal RNA". Lineage: Eukaryota; Viridiplantae; Streptophyta; Magnoliopsida; Poales; Poaceae. The record is from RNAcentral.
AUGAAGAGGAGUAGUUAUUUACUCGGUGAGAGGAAGGACUAUUAUCUAGUGGAGACAAGGUGCAUGGAUAUUACCAGCUCAAGUGCGACUGAACCCUGCCACUACUUCCCAGAGAACAAGAGCAAUCUAUCUAGUUUUACUCUAGAACAAGGGCCAACCAAGACCCGUCUCUCAUCUCUGCGGUUGAUUUUCAAGAACCAGGUCAGGGGAGAAGGAACCCUGGAACAAAUGGCGGGAUUUUUGGAUGUUUUAGCAUCCAAUGUCAGCAACAUGCUCACCGACAGCCAGAUCUGUCUCUCAUCGCCAGUCCAUCGAAGAUACCUAACUGAUUCCAGUUCCACUACAGUACUAUACCUAUUUUUCUCUCUCUAA